GCGCCCUUAGCUCAGGUGGACAGAGCGUCGGACUACGAAUCCGAAGGCCAGAGGUUCGAAUCCUCUAGGGCGCACCA
RNAcentral lists this transfer RNA (77 nucleotides) under Candidatus Rokubacteria bacterium 13_1_20CM_2_68_19. Its description in RNAcentral is "tRNA-Arg". It matches the Rfam family "tRNA". From Rfam's summary of the family: Transfer RNA (tRNA) molecules are approximately 80 nucleotides in length. Their secondary structure includes four short double-helical elements and three loops (D, anti-codon, and T loops). RNAcentral also lists the same sequence under 11 other names. Lineage: Bacteria; Candidatus Rokuibacteriota. The record is from RNAcentral.